UACGUAGGCAGCAAGCGUUGUUCGGAGUUACUGGGCGUAAAGAGUGCGUAGGCGGUCCUGUAAGUUUGGUGUGAAAUCUCCCGGCUCAACUGGGAGGGUGCGCCGAAGACUGCAGGGCUUGAGUAUGGGAGAGGUAAGCGGAAUUCCUGGUGUAGCGGUGGAAUGCGCAGAUAUCAGGAGGAACACCGGUGGCGAAGGCGGGUCUCUGGGCAACAACUGACGCUGAGGAGCGAAAGCGUGGGGAGCGAACAGG
This 253-nucleotide ribosomal RNA is filed under the name uncultured bacterium. RNAcentral describes it as "partial 16S ribosomal RNA". It matches the Rfam family "Bacterial small subunit ribosomal RNA", at positions 524 to 776 of the family's 1533-position model. The record is from RNAcentral.